AGAGAUAUAGCUCAGUGGUAGAGUGUGUGCUUACUGUGCAUGAGGUUCUGGAUUCAAUCUCCAAUAUCUCCA
This 72-nucleotide transfer RNA is filed under the name Camelus bactrianus (Bactrian camel). It matches the Rfam family "tRNA". Rfam says of the family: Transfer RNA (tRNA) molecules are approximately 80 nucleotides in length. Their secondary structure includes four short double-helical elements and three loops (D, anti-codon, and T loops). Lineage: Eukaryota; Metazoa; Chordata; Mammalia; Artiodactyla; Camelidae. RNAcentral also lists the same sequence under 2 other names. The record is from Rfam by way of RNAcentral.